AUGCGGCACGCCCACUGCCUUUCACUUUCCCCUCAUCUUCUGACCUCGUCUUCCGCUGAUGCUUCCGACCUCGUCUCUUCCCCUGAUGCUUCUCGCGGUACAUUUUCCCCCAUCCAUGCCGCGCACAUCUUCAUCUCCUUUGACCUAAUGAGUAGCACACCUUUCCUUCUUUCACUCCCGCAUGACCCAAGCUCUUCCCCUUCUCGGUGCAACUCGUGGACAUUCGAGCUGCCUCGACUGUUGUGGGGUUCUGCAACUGUGGCCACCCGGUGCUGGAAUGGACCAAUGGUGAUGUUGGAACCCUCGGUGGUGGCGGAUGCUGUAGCCGGCAAGGAGGUUGUUGGAGACGAUGCUACGACGGUGAUGUUUUUCGCUGCAACCAUGGUCGAUGAAUGUUGGAACCAACAUGGGGUGCUGCGAUCGAGGCCACGGGGGUGCUGGAAUCUAUUGAUGACGCUGUUGGAACCGGCUGUGGCGGAUGCUACGGUGUUGACGGUUUUGCAACCAUGA
This 510-nucleotide ribosomal RNA is filed under the name Triticum aestivum (bread wheat). Its description in RNAcentral is "partial small subunit ribosomal RNA". The record is from RNAcentral. Lineage: Eukaryota; Viridiplantae; Streptophyta; Magnoliopsida; Poales; Poaceae.